Dermochelys coriacea (leatherback sea turtle) is the source of this 216-nucleotide long non-coding RNA. RefSeq lists it as uncharacterized. The record is from RefSeq and is a predicted model, not a curated record. NCBI's taxonomy places the organism in Eukaryota, Metazoa, Chordata, Testudines, Dermochelyidae. The transcript has 3 exons.
AAUAAAUUUGCUGGAGGGACUUGGAUGGAAAAAGACGGGGAGCUGGUAAAAGCACCCCGGGUAAUUACAGAAUAAACAUGGGGUUAGCUGCACUGUACACUUUUAUCUGCCAGGUAGUCCCAAACAUCUAAUAAUAAAGUUGCGGCCUAAUUAAAUCCAUGUCAAACGUCUCCUGUCCGCCUUUUGAUAUAGCCAGACAAUCAUUUUUGGGUUAAU